Symphalangus syndactylus (siamang) is the source of this 2081-nucleotide long non-coding RNA. RefSeq lists it as uncharacterized. The record is from RefSeq and is a predicted model, not a curated record. Lineage: Eukaryota; Metazoa; Chordata; Mammalia; Primates; Hylobatidae.
CGCAGGGCAGGGCAGGGGCACCAGAAAAGACCCUCCCCGCUCCCUUGGAUGUAAGGCCGGGCCAGGUUUUGGUUGAAGGUUACAUUGCUCCUGGGUCAGAGAACUAUAACAUCAAAGCGCCUUUAUUACUGGAAACUGAGGACACUCAAGCCCUAAGGCGGUGGUUCUCAGUGUGGUCCCUGGACCAGCAGUGUCUGCAACGUCUGAUAAUUCAUUAGAAAUGCAUUUUCUUACAUCCCACUCCAGACUUAUUGAAUCAAACAUUCUGGGGAUGGGGCCCAACAAUCUGUUUUAACAAGCCCUCCAGGGGAUUCCGUUGCUCACUAAAGUUUGAGAACUACUGUCGCUAGCUGAUAGCAGAGCCACAAGAGAGAACUCUGAGUUCCUGAAUCACCACAUAGAAGACAGCCAUAUACCACCCAGAAAGAUCUGCCUCAGACUUUUCUAUAAAAUAGAAAUAAAAUUUGGUUGUGUUAAGACCCUGAAACUUGAGGGUAUAUUUGUUGCAGCAGGCAACAUUAAUACAGGCUGGAAGUCCAAACCUCUCCCAAACACAAUCGCAAUAUGGGGGGAGUGCUGAAUAUCACUGGACUCCUGACACUUAAGAGGGCGUACAGAAGUGUCUUAAUAUAGCUACAGUUAGUGGUGGCAACAGUGGGAAUCGAAGAUCAGAAUGUAGAGGCCACAAUGGUGGAUCAUGCUGCUCAAACUAGCAGGCCUCAAGCAUCACCAGGAAGAGUAAGAGACAUGGCUAAUGCUGAAUGUAUGUAUCUCCCUGGGAUCCUCUGCCAGUCUCACAUGAAUGAUUUUCACAGGAAACAAGGCAGACGCCAAGGGCCAUCUGCCAAUUGUCAGCUGACUAUCCAGCGAUAUAACCACUGCUACUGGCAGACCAGGACAAGGUCCAGGAAUUUUCCAGUGCCCAUGAAUCUACCAACACCUGGGUUUGAAACAGCUACUAUCAUGCUACGGGCCUCACUAGAUUAGCUUCAGAAACACCUGCAAGAAUGCAGGGCCUGGUAGGCAGAAUUUUCAGAUGACCCCCGCUCCCAGUGACUCUUGCCUUUGUCUAAUCCCCUCUCCUCUGAGAACCUCUGAAUAUGAUGAAAUAUCACUCCCAUUAUCAUGUUACAUUAUGUGGCAAAAGUGAGAUCAUCGUGGAUGGGCUUGACCUUAUUAUGUGAGCCCUGUAAAAGCCGAGAGUUUUCUCUGGCUAGUGGCAGAAGAGGAAGGCAGAGUGACAUGUUCCAGGAGGCCUAGAAGAAAGCAAGCAACCUUGUGGGCUGCCUAUGGGGGCCACAUGACAAGGAACUACAAGUAGCCUCUGGAAGCUGAAAGCAGUCCCCAGCCAAUAGCUUUCCAGAAGAUGGAGCCCCAGCCCUACAACCCCAAGGAACUGAAUUCUGCCAAUAACCAGUGAGCUUGGAAGAGGAUCCCAAGCCUCAGAUGAGAACCACAGCCCCAACCAACACCUUGAUGUCGGCCCAAUGAGACCUUGAGCAGAAAAUCCAGUGACAUCGUGCCAGGACUUCAGAUCUACAGAACUGCACACAGCCAUGUGAAGACAUAGCAAGAAGGCAGCUAUCUACAAGCCAGGAAGAGAGGCUUCACCCUAAACCACCCCUGCCAGCACUUUCAUCUUGGACUUCCAGCCUCCAGAACUGUGUCUUCUAGAGAAACCCAAGCUAAGACAGAGACUAAAGGACAAGGAAUAUGACCAAGGUCACACUGCUGUUCAACGCCAAAGCUGGGUCUAUGUGCUGACUCCUGACUCCUCCUGCCAACAGCUCAUUCUACUGCCCAGCACAGAGAACUUUCAUGGUAAUCCCAGGCCCAGGUUUGCAUGACAGCGUUUCCCUGUGGGAUCCAAAGAAAGAGGCCCCCUCACCCUUAGUGAGGGGCUGGGCCAAGACUGCAAUGUGGGUGCCAGAACUAGGACCCCUUUCUUUUCCUUCACCACUGUGCUUCAUCCAAUUACUGGGUCCUUGCAUUAGCACUGCCCAGCCCUGGGGCAUUACUUCUAAACCAUUUCUCACUACCUCUCUUUGGAGCCCCAAACUUUCACCUCCCAAUACAGACAA